This 303-nucleotide ribosomal RNA is filed under the name uncultured bacterium. Its description in RNAcentral is "partial 16S ribosomal RNA". It matches the Rfam family "Bacterial small subunit ribosomal RNA", at positions 507 to 807 of the family's 1533-position model. The record is from RNAcentral.
AGCAGUCGCCACGGGAAUACAGAGGGUGCGAGCGUUAAUCGGAAUUACUGGGCGUAAAGCGUGCGCAGGCGGUUAUAUAAGACAGAUGUGAAAUCCCCGGGCUCAACCUGGGAACUGCAUUUGUGACUGUAUAGCUAGAGUACGGCAGAGGGGGAUGGAAUUCCGCGUGUAGCAGUGAAAUGCGUAGAUAUGCGGAGGAACACCGAUGGCGAAGGCAAUCCCCUGGGCCUGUACUGACGCUCAUGCACGAAAGCGUGGGGAGCAAACAGGAUUAGAUACCCCAGUAGUCCCUGUCUCUUAUAC